This 339-nucleotide unclassified non-coding RNA is filed under the name soil metagenome. RNAcentral's name for it is "partial contains 5.8S ribosomal RNA, internal transcribed spacer 2, and large subunit ribosomal RNA". The stretch from base 1 to 120 matches the Rfam family "5.8S ribosomal RNA", at positions 35 to 154 of the family's 154-position model. The record is from RNAcentral.
GAUGAAGAACGCAGCGAAAUGCGAUACGUAGUGUGAAUUGCAGAAUUCAGUGAAUCAUCGAAUCUUUGAACGCACAUUGCACCUCUCGGUAUUCCGGGAGGUAUGCCUGUUCGAGCGUCAUUUGUACCCUCAAGCUCUGCUUGGUGUUGGGUGUUUGUUCCGCCUCUGUGUGUGAACUCGCCUCAAAACAAUUGGCAGCCGGCGUACUUGUUUCGGAGCGCAGCACAUUUUGCGAUCCAGAUCAACGUACAGCGGCAUCCAAGAAGCCUUAUUUAACGCUCUUGACCUCGGAUCAGGUAGGGAUACCCGCUGAACUUGAGCAUAUCAAUAAGCGGAGGA